Long non-coding RNA from Hibiscus syriacus, 396 nucleotides. RefSeq lists it as uncharacterized. The transcript has 4 exons. The record is from RefSeq and is a predicted model, not a curated record. NCBI's taxonomy places the organism in Eukaryota, Viridiplantae, Streptophyta, Magnoliopsida, Malvales, Malvaceae.
AUCCACUCCGGUAACCCGGCAGUUGUUCCACUCGAAGAAGUAGACUCGGAAAUGGAGAGCGCCACUUCGGGCGGAACCGAACCGGGUUUCCCUGGGGCUCACUGGGUGGGUGUCAAUUCUGUCAACCGGAGACCCAUAUCUCAGGCGGAAAAAUCCUUGAAUCUUCACGGCCGAUGAAGAAAGCCGGCGAGGACCGAGGUCGAGAAGCUCUCAGUAUCGAGGCGUUACCUUUUAUAGAAGAACCGGCCGAUGGGAGUCUCAUAUUUGGGAUUGUGGAAAACAAAUUUAUCUAGGUGGAUUCGACGCAGCACAUGCAGCAUUCGAGCACAUAGAGCAGCUAUAAAGUUUCGGGGAGCUGAAGCCGACAUAAUUUUAGUAUUAGAGAUUAUGAGGAAG